ACAGUUGAACAUCCUGCCGAUCUUAAUUGUAUACUGCUUGCAUUUAUUUAAAUUUAUUCAAGAUUCAAAGUAAACUGUCAUUUAGGGGCGAAGCCCCUAAUCGAAUGGAGGUUCGGGGACAACGCCCCUGGCUGGGAUUUUUGGAACAAACCCGACUUUUGACUUCGGUUCGACCCUUAUAGAAGGAACCUGGAUUAGUGACAGUUUUCAGACAUCAAACUGUUUUUUGUGACAGUUUUCAAACAUACAACUGUCUUGAGACAGUUUUCUGAUGGAAAAGGUUUUAACUAAUUUUGAUCUUCAUUUGAUGGUACACUCGGAAUUCAUAACAACUAGAUUUUUUGUUCUUGCUCUCAAUUUCUGAGUCUUAUCCGAUUAAAGAUUAGUUUUACCACCCAAAUACUUUAAUCUAUACCCUAAAUUUCUAACAUUAUGUUUUAUACAGAGAAAUUAAAAUUGAAGAUUGCUUUUGAGUACAAAUAUCUACAACAUAGCAAUUUCUACAGGAUUCCUGGGGUUAAUGACGAUGAACAGUUAUGUAUUGUAAUGGUACUAUAUCCAUAAAUUUGAAUAAUUAACAUUUUUACACUUUUCUUUUAUUAAAAAAAUAUCAUUCAUUUUCACAAUUGAUUUGUUGUAUGUUGGCAACGCUUGCAAACAGGUUUGUGGCUGUGAAAUGCUUGCAACAGUUUUAUGGCUGGGAAAUCUAAAUCUUUUACUUCUUGAUGAUAAAAGAUGUGGAACCUGGAGUAAUGAAGGUAAUACAUAUAUUUGGGCAUUAUACUUGAAAUCUUUCAUCCAUUAAGGCAUUUUAGUUUAAUUUAUUAACAUGAUGCCAAUGAAAGUUGAGAUGGCAAGUUAUAGUUGCAUUUACCUCAGUAAUUAGCAGUGAAUAGUUCUUAAUGGGGUAAUUUGGAGGUAACACAUAAGUUUUUUAUUUAACCGACAAAAACUUUUAUGUGCUUACCCUUUUUAGUUCGCACAUGUCAAACAGUUUGUAGGUUAAUCUUUUUGUGGAAUUGAUAUUGGCUUGUAGAUUAUGCUUUUUGGUACUUGUGAUAUGAUCUAAUUAUUGUUGUUACUAAUUUGUUUUGUUUGCAGUUUCUGGUUAUAAAAGGCUUGCUUUAAACACCUUCAAUAACACUUGCUUAGAUUUAAAGAUAAUCUAUUUGAUGUGAUGCAACAUGAGAGUUUGGGGCAAUUGAACCAGUCCAUGUUGGAAGAUCAGGAAGAGUUUUGGUGGCACCUAAGUGGCUACACGAUUAAGUGAUAAGCAUGUAGUAGAUUAAGAUAACUAUUAUUUGAAUUUCUAGAUAAUGUUUGUUUGCAAUUUGAAUUAUUAGCUAGUUGUUAGAG
RNAcentral lists this long non-coding RNA (1356 nucleotides) under Lactuca sativa (garden lettuce). RNAcentral's name for it is "long non-coding RNA (LSAT_LNC001689)". Lineage: Eukaryota; Viridiplantae; Streptophyta; Magnoliopsida; Asterales; Asteraceae. The record is from RNAcentral.